Molecule: ribosomal RNA, 171 nt
Filed under: Arctozenus risso (ribbon barracudina)
Lineage: Eukaryota; Metazoa; Chordata; Actinopteri; Aulopiformes; Paralepididae
Description: partial 12S rRNA
Source: RNAcentral
CACCGCGGUUAUACGAGGGGCCCAAGCUGACAGACACCGGCGUAAAGAGUGGUUAAGGAUUAACCCCACUAAAGUCAAACAUCCCCUAUGCUGUUAUACGCCUCCGGGGACAGGAUGCCCCACCACGAAAGUGACUUUAAUAAAUCUCCCGAACCCACGACAGCUAUGAAA